GUCCACGCCGUAAACGAUGAAUACUAGGUGUAGGGUUGUCAUGACCUCUGUGCCGCCGCUAACGCAUUAAGUAUUCCGCCUGGGGAGUACGGUCGCAAGAUUAAAACUCAAAGGAAUUGACGGGGCCCGCACAAGCAGCGGAGCAUGUGGUUUAAUUCGAAGCAACGCGAAGAACCUUACCUAGACUUGACAUCUCCUGCAUUACCCUUAAUCGGGGAAUCGCUUCGGCGACAGGAAGACAGGUGGUGCAUGGUUGUCGU
RNAcentral lists this ribosomal RNA (260 nucleotides) under uncultured bacterium. RNAcentral's name for it is "partial 16S ribosomal RNA". It matches the Rfam family "Bacterial small subunit ribosomal RNA", at positions 793 to 1055 of the family's 1533-position model. The record is from RNAcentral.